AGAGAGAGCCUCGUAGAUAAAUUGUUGAGUCGGCUUAUUCGUCAUCUUUAUCCGAUGAGUUUCUCUUCUCUUCGUUUCUUUAUAUACUCAAUAAUUGCUCACUCUCUCAUCAUCUCUAUCGCCUGCUCUCUCCUCUCUCUCUAUCGAUGCUUGAAUGGAAUCACAGAAAAUUGUUGGAAAAAUCCAGUUCUAUGAGAGGGUUUUGAGUAUUUAAGUUUAGGUUGAAGGAUUGAGAGAUUAAAGAAGAAAGCCCAAAUUGAUUCUUCAAAGAAAGGGCUGCAAGAAGGUUUUAUCAAUGGAGUCUUGACGAUCCGAAAGUACUGUUGGGAAACUUGAGAAGCGAGCUUCCCGAUGGUGGUGUAUUUCGCCGGCGGAGGUGACCGGUGGUCGGAAAACGGCAAGAAGUGCAGCCUGCCCCUGAACUUGAGGAGUCGAUUUGAGGUACUUAGGCUUUGAAUUUCGGAUUUGUUUCUUCUCAAAAUUUGUAUAGCAGACCGAAAACUAUAGGAAUAUCAUCUUUUCCCCAAAUUUCGACUAUUAUAUAUAACCGAAUUAAACCCGACAGUUAUGUCGGCAAAAUUCAGAGAAAUAAAGACCUGCUGCCGCACCUGUUUUCCCUUGUACUCCUCACUAAGUCCAUUUGGACUUACUCCUCUUUUAUUUUCUUUCUUAUUCUCGGUGUCAGAUGCAUAAGUGGACGAUUGUGUUGACUACACUUAAGAGUAAUGUUACUUGGAAGUCUUAUAGAGUUUAAUCGAGUGAUGUAUUUAAGAAUGGUUGUAAUUCAAGAACUAUGUAUACGAGAUUAGUUGUGAGCUUUAAUUGCCACUUGUAUUUGAUUUUUUUUAAUGUUGAGUAGUUAAGUUGAAGUUGUUGUAUUAAUUAGUAGUCAUAGUAUUCAUUAAAAAAAAAAAAUUAGUUUAUUUCGUUAGUGGGCGUCGCAUUAUGAUUUACG
This 955-nucleotide long non-coding RNA is filed under the name Erythranthe guttata (spotted monkey flower). RNAcentral describes it as "long non-coding RNA (EGUT_LNC003314)". The record is from RNAcentral. Lineage: Eukaryota; Viridiplantae; Streptophyta; Magnoliopsida; Lamiales; Phrymaceae.